This 245-nucleotide ribosomal RNA is filed under the name uncultured bacterium. Its description in RNAcentral is "partial 16S ribosomal RNA". It matches the Rfam family "Bacterial small subunit ribosomal RNA", at positions 524 to 768 of the family's 1533-position model. The record is from RNAcentral.
UACGAAGGGUGCAAGCGUUAAUCGGAAUUACUGGGCGUAAAGCGUGCGUAGGCGGUGACUUAAGUCUGCUGUGAAAUCCCCGGGCUCAACCUGGGAAUGGCAGUGGAUACUGGGUCGCUAGAGUGUGAUAGAGGAUGGUGGAAUUCCCGGUGUAGCGGUGAAAUGCGUAGAGAUCGGGAGGAACAUCAGUGGCGAAGGCGGCCAUCUGGAUCAACACUGACGCUGAGGCACGAAAGCGUGGGGAG